CCAUAUCACAAUGGAACACCGGUUUCCGUUCGAUCACCGAAGUUAAGCAACAAUGUUCCUGGUCAUUAACUAGAUGGGUAACCACUUGGGAAUAUCAGGUGUUGUAA
Molecule: non-coding RNA, 107 nt
Organism: Acanthosepion pharaonis
Lineage: Eukaryota; Metazoa; Mollusca; Cephalopoda; Sepiida; Sepiidae
Source: the annotation of a GenBank genome assembly